RNAcentral lists this ribosomal RNA (522 nucleotides) under uncultured bacterium. Its description in RNAcentral is "bacterial SSU rRNA". It matches the Rfam family "Bacterial small subunit ribosomal RNA", at positions 777 to 1297 of the family's 1533-position model. The record is from RNAcentral.
AAUAGAUACCGGGUAGUCCACGCCGUAAACGAUGAGUGCUAAGUGUUAGAGGGUUUCCGCCCUUUAGUACUGCAGCUAACGCAUUAAGCACUCCGCCUGGGGAGUACGGCCGCAAGGCUGAAACUCAAAGGAAUUGACGGGGGGCCCGCACAAGCGGUGGAGCAUGUGGUUUAAUUCGAAGCAACGCGAAGAACCUUACCAGGUCUUGACAUCCUCUGCCAACCCUAGAGAUAGGGCGUUCCCCUUCGGGGGACAGAGUGACAGGUGGUGCAUGGUUGUCGUCAGCUCGUGUCGUGAGAUGUUGGGUUAAGUCCCGCAACGAGCGCAACCCUUGAUCUUAGUUGCCAGCAUUCAGUUGGGCACUCUAAGGUGACUGCCGGUGACAAACCGGAGGAAGGUGGGGAUGACGUCAAAUCAUCAUGCCCCUUAUGACCUGGGCUACACACGUGCUACAAUGGAUGGUACAAAGAGCUGCGAACCCGCGAGGGUAAGCCAAUCUCAUAAAGCCAUUCUCAGUUCGGA